RNAcentral lists this ribosomal RNA (253 nucleotides) under uncultured bacterium. RNAcentral's name for it is "partial 16S ribosomal RNA". It matches the Rfam family "Bacterial small subunit ribosomal RNA", at positions 524 to 776 of the family's 1533-position model. The record is from RNAcentral.
UACGUAGGCAGCAAGCGUUGUUCGGAGUUACUGGGCGUACAGGGUGUGUAGGUGGCCUGUUAAGUUCCGUGUGAAAUCUCCCGGCUCAACCGGGAGGGUGCGCGGAAAACUGGCGGGCUAGAGUACGGGAUGGGAGAGUAGAAUUCCUGGUGUAGCGGUGAAAUGCGUAGAUAUCAGGAGGAAUACCGGUGGUGUAGACGGCUCUCUGGACCGUAACUGACACUGAGACACGAAAGCGUGGGUAGCAAACAGG